UUCUAUGAUGGUGAAAGUGGCAGUGGUUACUUGGCAUGGAGGCUCCAAACCAUACAGAGGAAUAGUGCUUCAUCACAGAGCAAAAGGCCAUCACAUCAGCUGACUGGUGGAGGGCCGUCAGCUAGGAGAGAUGCUUCACCCUGAGUGAAGAGCAAUGCAAGGAGGCCAUAUCCUUCAUGAAGUUUUCAUCUGAUGAGGACACUAUCAAGCAGAAGAUGAAGAUGACAUUUGAAUAUCGUCGAUGUAUGGUCUACGACAAAGAGAAAUCCUCAGAUGUCUUGACUGAAUUUCCACGCUUCAAAGAUGUCAAAGGCCUGAUUGAGCAAGACUUCAUCUUGCAGUUUGGAGAAGAUGUAGCUGCCAAGUCUUUGGAGAGGUGGCCUACAACAUUCAAGAAAAGGGUCAUCCAGCAGAGUAAGGCUCUGAGAUCUGAUCUAUUGUGCAGAAGCUACAUCAGAUGAAGAGGAAAUGGAUAAUGACAUUAUUGCCUCUGGAUGGGACAGUGAUCUGUCUUCAAUCAUUCUCCUCCUCCACCUGAUUCCUCCAACAGCCCAGGGGCAGAAGAGGCCAGGCAAGGUGUCUGCAUCCCAAGCUGAGAAGCACCUUGUCGUGUUCAAGAAGAGUGGGACAAGCAUCCAGGAACACAUUGAUGAACAGCACCACUCAACCCUAUCUACUUGCUGUUGGCAUGAAGAGGAGCGCAAUCCAUGAGUUCUUCAUCGUUCUGGACAAGCAGGUCAUACCAUGCGACUCAACCACUUCUCUUGGAGCUUUUGAUGAACUUGUGAAGGCACACUUUGUAUUUGGGACUCUUUACAAUCAGAUGCUCCACAACAUGUACACCUUCAUACAGACAACUACAACUGUCUACAACAUCCAUUUGGGACAAGUCCAGGAGAGCCCACGUGUUGCUGAGAUUAGGGCUAGACUUCUGCAUUCUACAGGCUAGUUCAUGCAUACGCUGACAUGUUUUGGAUAUUGUGAGAUUUUCUUUGACCCAUUUCACCCAUUUUUAUAUCACACUUUAUCAUCUUACUUGAUAUCAUGGGGGUUAUUUGUUUUGUUUGCCAGAUUGAUUUUGUGAGCACCAACAGUCUUGUGAGGCAUAUGCGAUUAAUACAUGGUUUAUAUCAGGGUAAAUCACUUUGCUUAAAAUGUGCUCAGGCAGGAUGCUGCCAGGUUUUUGGCACAUUCUCAGGCUUUAGGAAGCAUCUAAAUACAAAGCAUGCUGACCAAAUUGAACUUGAAGUUGAAACUGACAUUGUAGUCAGUGAUGUUGCAGAUGAUGCUCAGUUGCCAAUUAGUGAAGAAGCUGCCAGUACGUCUCAAGUUCUGCCCGUAUCCAACACAAGUACUCAUGAUUUGUGUGCAUCUGCUGUUGCACAGCUUCAGGUUGCUGGUGUAAGCCAGUCUACUUUAAAUGGUUUUGUAUCAUCCAUGGAAGACGUGGUACUGGAGGUACAGAGUCAAGCUAAAGCUGCAGCUUUAAAAUGUUUAUCAUUACAGGAUACUAGUAUGAAAGCUAAAAUUGAACAAAGUUUAAAAAAACUUGAAAACCCUUUCACCUCAUUGAAUUCUGAAACAAAACAAGUAUUUUCAACAAAAAUGGAAAACUGUUGAACCUGUCGAAAAAGUACUUGGUGUCAGAUUUGAAAAUAGAAGAAACAGAUGUACUGGAAGUUAUGAUCAGAUUGUUGUAAGAGACAAAUUUGCCUAUGUCCCAAUUCUAGAAACACUGCAGUCUAUUCUCAGAAAUCCAAACUUUGCAGAUAUGUUAACAUCUAGCCACAUUCCCAAAGAUGAUGUAUAUUUUGAUUUACAAGAUGGGUUGUAUAUAAAGAGACAUCCCCUUUUUUCUAAUGAAAAUUUUGCACUGCAAAUUCAAUUAUUUUAUGAUGAUUUUGAGACUGCGAAUCCACUGGGAUCCAAAAAAGGUGAACAUAAAUUAGGGGCUGUAUAUUUUACAUUAAGAAAUUUCCCACCGAAAUUAAAUUUGUCUUUAGUCAAUAUACAUUUGUGUGCACUUUUUCAUGCGCAAGACAUUAAAACCUAUGGGUCUUUUUCUUCUAUUUUCAAAUCUGACACCAAGUACUUUUUCGACAGGUUCAACAGUUUUCCAUUUUUGUUGAAAAUACUUGUUUUGUUUCAGAAUUCAAUGAGGUGAAAGGGUUUUCAAGUUUUUUUAAACUUUGUUCAAUUUUAGCUUUCAUACUAGUAUCCUGUAAUGAUAAACAUUUUAAAGCUGCAGCUUUAGCUUGACUCUGUACCUCCAGUACCACGUCUUCCAUGGAUGAUACAAAACCAUUUAAGCAUCAUCAGCUUUUUAAGCGAUUGUUUCUUGCUAGAAAUCUCUUGCCUAAGCAUCAUUUCAUUAUACAUUAUCCUAAAUGUAUAAGGAAUAUUGGACCAAUUCUGCACGUGUGGUCUAUGCGCUACGAAGCAAAGCACAACGUUUUUAAGACCCAACUGAAAAGUUUCAAAAGUAUCACAAAGACAUUGGCCAAAAAGCACCAAAGAUACAUGGCCUUGUAUUGGGAAUCUUUUAGUAAGUGCAGAUUAACUGUUGGUCCAGGAAAGAUGUCACAACUUCAAGAAUUGAAACAGGGUCCUGAGCUUGCUGCCAAAUUAAACACUGCAAUAUCCACCACUGUUCUGACUGUGAAGUGGGUAAAACACUAUGGCACUGAAUAUCCUGCAAUCAGCAAAAUGAUCAGUGUGUUUCUGUGAUUUGGCGGUUAUAACUUAAAUUUUAACAAAGGGAUAACUAAUGGUGCAACAAUGCAUUGAUUUGUGCGAGCAAAAUGUCCCAAACAUCUGCCUGAUUAUCUUCAAGCACCAUAUUAAUAUCCUUUUUUUCACUCUGUUAGGUAACACAAAUUAAUAUUGCUAACACCUGGCUUGACUCCAAUACAACAACCUGCAAAGAGUUGAUUAAUGAGGCAAUUUAUAUCAUUAAGUUGGAUAAAAUGUAUUUUCCCCUGCAUUGCAAUUGCAAGAUUAUAUAGAGAGAUGGGGUCCUGUAGAUUAACAUA
This is a long non-coding RNA of Sander lucioperca (pikeperch), 3032 nucleotides long. RefSeq lists it as uncharacterized. The record is from RefSeq and is a predicted model, not a curated record. The transcript is spliced from 5 exons. NCBI's taxonomy places the organism in Eukaryota, Metazoa, Chordata, Actinopteri, Perciformes, Percidae.